This is an RNA transcript of Oncorhynchus kisutch (coho salmon), 1293 nucleotides long. It is a transcript of the gene named ribonuclease T2-like, with no coding region annotated. Lineage: Eukaryota; Metazoa; Chordata; Actinopteri; Salmoniformes; Salmonidae. The transcript is spliced from 7 exons. The record is from RefSeq and is a predicted model, not a curated record.
UGCAGAGAACUGUCAGUAUAGAUCAGUCGCACAUGAUCACUGUCUCUGAAUAGAGUAAAUAUGUCAGGGCUGCUCAUGGUGGCCUUGCUCACUGUCCUUACCCUCACCCUGGAGUCUGACCACUGGACAGCAGGCCCUCCGGAAAAGUAAGAUAAGGAUCUUGCAUUGUAAAUACUCCAAUCCAAUGGUGUAAUGUAGACUUUUCAAUUUAAAACUGCUUUUAUAUUGCAAGUCGAUUUUUGACUAUUAUCUUUUUGGACAAGUAUACUUGAGUGUGACGUAUUGUUAUGUUGAAAUAUUAAAUAGUCUUGGGCAUUAGGAUACAGAAUCAUUCCAUCUCUCCCAGGUUCUGUACAUGGCAGUGUUUGAAGUUGACUCUGCAGGGGCCUGGGAGCUUUUGUUUGGUGAGUUUAACAACUUCUCCAUAGCACAUCACCCAUUCCUGUUAUUCUAACUCAAUCUAACACUGCACAGGGUCUAAAGAAUUCAUCUCAAUGCAGAAUACCUCCAAACAUCCAGAACUGGACCAUCCAUGGACUGUGUCACCAUCGAAGGACAAUGAAGAAUCCAUGUGUUCAGCAGAGAUCCCUCUUUCUUUCAGGAGCUGGACCCUGAACUCUCUCAACUUUGGCCAUCCCUACUCAAGACCCACUCCAGUUUUCUCUUCUGGAAAGAUGAAUGGAUCAAACAUGGUUCCUGUGCUGCUUGUGUGGAGGGCAUGAACUCUCCUUUGCGUUACUUCCAAAUAUGUCUGAAACUACGCGAGCGCUUCGAUAUUGACCGAGCCUUAGAGGAUGCAUGCAUCAAGCCCUCCUGUAACCAGUCUUAUCAGAGCGAUGAAGUCAAACAUGCACUGGCCCCAGUCAUUGGAGAUGACCCCGGUGUCCAGAUUCAGUGUAUAAAUGAAAAGGGACGAGAAGUGUUGGUCCAGGUGAAGAUCCCUCUGUCUCAAAACCUCACCCUUGGAUGUCUUCACGAAGAGGACCAGGGAACUGAACCUCAACCUACCCAGCUCUGGCACCCCUGUCCUCAUGACUCCCCCGUCUUCUACUUCCCUAUAAACCACGACCGCCCACACCAGCCCUGUGACUAGUGUUACGUCUGCCCUCACCACAGACUGGGUUGCCAUGCCAUGCCUGCUGGCUUAACCUAACGAUAAGCAAGUUGUUGAAUUGCAGGGCUUACAUCUUUGAGGUAGAUUACGUUAAGGCACUCAUUUAGUAUACAGCCACUAUGUUCUUUCAGUAUUUUUCUUCUGCAAAACAUGCUUUUGGAGAUAAAAAAAAAAAAAAA